This 1020-nucleotide long non-coding RNA is filed under the name Bos indicus x Bos taurus (hybrid cattle). RNAcentral's name for it is "lncRNA (ENSBIXG00005026928.1)". Lineage: Eukaryota; Metazoa; Chordata; Mammalia; Artiodactyla; Bovidae. The record is from RNAcentral.
GGCAGUCCCAGAGCGGUGGGGUUAGCAGGAGCAAGGCUGGCCAAACUUCGGGGAAUUCGGGUGAGGCGAGAGGGGAGGAAGUUUGGGGGCCCCCUGAAGGCUGGCGGUUUGGGGUUCCCCAGGGGAACACUGAUCCUCUGGCGCCGAGCUCGCACCGGAGAGGUCAGGCCAGUUGCUGGGAGAAGGGAUAGGGGCCCUGCCCGGUCCCACCCGCGCCGGGCUAAAAUCGGGCGGGGCCGACUGGAGAGGCAGGGACGCCGGUGGCCGGGCGGGGUCUGCGCCCUUCUCCCCGCCCGGCGGAGCGCGGCCUGCGAGGCUCGGGGCCAGGCCCGACAGGAGGGAACUCGGUCCCUGGGCUGGGCACUGUGCGCCUGCGGCUCCUGCCCUCCCGGCGGCUGCGGGCGCGCCGGCCCCCGCGCCCCCAGGGGCCGGGCCGGGGCGGGGGCUGGGCCCCGCGGGCGGGCGGGCGGGCGCGCGGGGGGUGGGGGGCGGCGGCGAAGGCUGCGCCGCUCUAACAGGUGGGAUCCCGCGGCGUGGUGGAGGCGGGCGCGGGAGGAAGAGGAGGAGGAGGAAGAGCAGCGGCAGCGGGAGCCCGAGCAGGAGCAGGAUGAGCCGCGCGAGCUGACAGCCGCCGCCGCCGCCCGCGCCCGAGCUCGGUCUCGCUCCCCGCGCCCGGGGCCGCUCCCCGCCUCCCGCCUCCCCCGGCCGCCCGCGGGGCGGCCCGCCCCCUCUGCACCUCCGGGCCCGGAGCUGCCUCCAUCGCUCCUGCAUCCCGGCCGGGGGGGAGGAGGAGGCGGAGCAGGAGGCGAGCCGGAGCCGCCGCCGCCAACGCCGCCGCCGCCGCCCGAGCAGGACAGAGCGCGCCGCAGCCCCGCGCGUCCGGCCGCCGCCCGUGCCCAUCAAGCCUCCGCGCCGGAGCCACACCGCGGGACAGCCGGGGCCGCGGCGCGCCCCGGCUUGGCUCGGCCCAGCCCAGCCCAGUCCCGGCACCGGGCGGCCCGGCGGCCGGCCCGCCCCCGA